ACGUAGGGGGCGAGCGUUGUCCGGAGUUACUGGGCGUAAAGCGCCCGCAGGCGGUGGAGCGCGUUGGGGGUGACAGUCGGCGGCUUAACUGCCGGAGGACUCCCAAGACGGUUUCACUUGAGGGCCUUAGAGGGACAUGGAAUUCCGGGUGGAGCGGUGAAAUGCGUAGAGAUCCGGAGGAACACCAAAGGCGAAGGCAGUGUCCUGGGAGGCACCUGACGCUCGGGGGCGAAAGCCAGGGGAGCGAACGGGAUUAGAUACCCCGGUAGUCCUGGCCGUAAACGAUGACCACUAGGUGUGCGGCGUAUCGACCCGCUGCGUGCCGACGCAAACGCAAUAAGUGGUCCGCCUGGGGAGUACGGUCGCAAGAUUA
Molecule: ribosomal RNA, 373 nt
Filed under: uncultured bacterium
Lineage: Bacteria
Description: bacterial SSU rRNA
Rfam family: Bacterial small subunit ribosomal RNA
Source: RNAcentral